CCUACGGGUGGCAGCAGUGAGGAAUCUUGGUCAAUGGACGCAAGUCUGAACCAGCCAUGCCGCGUGCAGGAAGGCGGCUCUAUGAGUUGUAAACUGCUUUUGUACGAGGGUAAACGCAGAUACGCGUAUCUGUAUGAAAGUAUCGUACGAAUAAGGAUCGGCUAACUCCGUGCCAGCAGCCGCGGUAAUAGGGAGGAUUCAAGCGUUAUCCGGAUGUAUUGGGUUUAAGGGGUGCGUAGGCGGUCGGAUAAGUUAGAGGUGAAAGCCCGAGGCUCAACUUCGGAAUGGCAUAUGAUACUGUUAGGCUAGAGAGUAGUUGCGGUAGGCGGAAUGUAUGGUGUAGCGGUGAAAUGCUUAGAGAUCAUACAGAACACCGAUUGCGAAGGCAGCUUACCAAGCUACUUCUGACGUUGAGGCACGAAAGCGUGGGGAGCAAACAGGAUUAGAUACCCCUGUAGUC
RNAcentral lists this ribosomal RNA (460 nucleotides) under uncultured bacterium. RNAcentral's name for it is "partial 16S ribosomal RNA". It matches the Rfam family "Bacterial small subunit ribosomal RNA", at positions 338 to 795 of the family's 1533-position model. The record is from RNAcentral.